RNAcentral lists this transfer RNA (65 nucleotides) under Elysia viridis. Its description in RNAcentral is "tRNA-Asn". The record is from RNAcentral. Lineage: Eukaryota; Metazoa; Mollusca; Gastropoda; Plakobranchidae.
CACAACGAAGCUGAUAUCUUAGCAUUUAACUGUUAAUUAAAAGGGAGCCCCAAAGGCCGAUGUGA